Molecule: ribosomal RNA, 502 nt
Filed under: uncultured bacterium
Lineage: Bacteria
Description: partial 16S ribosomal RNA
Rfam family: Bacterial small subunit ribosomal RNA
Source: RNAcentral
AUUGAACGCUGGCGGCAGGCUUAACACAUGCAAGUCGAGCGGGGUGAUGGUGCUUGCACUAUCACUUAGCGGCGGACGGGUGAGUAAUGCUUAGGAAUCUGCCUAUUAGUGGGGGACAACAUCUCGAAAGGGAUGCUAAUACCGCAUACGUCCUACGGGAGAAAGCAGGGGAUCACUUGUGACCUUGCGCUAAUAGAUGAGCCUAAGUCGGAUUAGCUAGUUGGUGGGGUAAAGGCCUACCAAGGCGACGAUCUGUAGCGGGUCUGAGAGGAUGAUCCGUCACACCGGAACUGAGACACGGUCCGGACUCCUACGGGAGGCAGCAGUGGGGAAUAUUGGACAAUGGGGGCAACCCUGAUCCAGCCAUGCCGCGUGUGUGAAGAAGGCCUUCGGGUUGUAAAGCACUUUAAGUGGGGAGAAAGGUUCGGCAGCUAAUACCUGCCGGAAGUGAUGUUACCCACAGAAUAAGCACCGGCUAACUCUGUGCCAGCAGCCGCAGUAA